GUGGGAAAAUUCAGUGCGAGAAGGUUACCGAGGGGUUGGUGAGGGGGGCGGGGGGUUGGGGAGGGUAUGGCUUUUCUCUGUAUGUAAUAGACACAAAACCGAGGCUCUGAGGCUGUUCGAAAAGCUCUGUGUUGAAUUUGGAGCCCCUUUUGUUGUUGCGGGUUGCAGAUUGUUGGUGUUGCAGGUUGCUAUCGCUGUUGUUCCUGUUGCUGUUGCAGUUGCAGCAGUUGCCUGCUGCCUGGAAGUGGGAAAACUAAACUACAACAGCAGCAAAACAUUUUGCUAAAUACACACUGGAAAUGGCAGUCUCCACUUUCCACCUCCAUCGCUCUAGCUUUCUCUCUCUCUCUCUCUCUCUCUUGCGCCUCGUCUCUUUCUGCCACAGAUGCUGCAUGUUGCACAUUGGAAAACUAAGCCCGCCACGGAAAGUGAGAAGGUGGAAAAAUACAGAGGGUGGUGAAAACAGAGCUCUCUUUCCAUCAGUUCCUCUUGUAUUUUCACCGAAAUAUAACAAAAGGGAAAAAGAACCCAAAUGGAACGACAAAAACAACAAUCAGAAUUCGGAAUAUUCGCGAAAAUUUUUUGGGGAAUACAGAUAUGUAAAUACUAGCAGGACAAGUAUGGAGAGAAUGGGUGAUAAAGUAGGUAAACUGGAGGAUAAGAAUACGCGAUUUUUCUCAACAAAAAACUAAAGUUUAACUUACAUUUAUAAAUUUGUUAAAAACAAAUUGGUUUAAAAAGUUGUGGAAUUGCGAAACUCACCUGCAAAAUAAAAGAAAAAUAUACAUUUAUUUGCAAUAUUGAUUUCAAUUAUUGUAUUAAAUAAAUUUAUUUAAACGGUUAAUGGAAACCGGACCUAACAAACUUAUAAUACGUUUUUACUUUACUCUCAAGAGAUAUUUCUUUGAAGAUAUUUUAUAAUUGUUUUCAGGCAUUUCAAAUGACUCAAAAAGUAUCCACGAGUUGAAGACCAAGAUCGUGAAUCGGUUGUUUCUUUUUUUUUUUUUUUUGUGAGAUGACCAACAAUGCGAAACUUCGACUUGGGGAGGGGUGGGGGCGAGGCUAACUGAGGGGCAGAGGUGAUACAGAUGACGACGACGACGACAGAUGGUCAAGAGGAAUGUAUCUGUAUCUGCAUUUGCGGCUGCUGCCUACGGCUCGCGCAUAUGUGUGCUUGUACGUGUGUAUCUACAACAUAACACAAAUCAAAACUUGGCUGAAACUGCAGGCGGAGGCUGCUGAUAUGGUCGCUGUUGCUUUUGCUGUUGCUAUUGCUGUGUUGCUAUUGCUAAGUUGCUAUUGCUGUUGCUGUUUUCUGCUGCAGCUUGCCCCAUCGACAGCAGCAACAACAAAACUUAACUGAACUGCACUGAAGGCUGUGAGGCACAUACAUAACUAAUAGAUACAUAAAGCCGUAUCUUUUGGGUGAAUGAACUGUAAUGAGAAUGUGAACCUAGGCAACAACAACUAGCGACUAGCAACCGGCAACCAGCAAACAGCAACCAGCGAUGUUGUCGUCGUCUCAGCCGCAGCAACAUCAGAAACAUCAGCCCAUUGCAAAUGCCGAGAAUCGCAACGCAAAGUGCGCAAUUAGAGGUGUUGUUGUUGUUGUUCUGUUGCUGCUGUUUCUUGUUGUUGCUCACUGCUGCUCUUUGUAAUGUUUUUGGUAAAAUUGCUAGUGAUUUUUGGACCUAUUCUAAAGCGAUCUGUUUAUAAUCCUACUGUUUCCACAGAUCGAAGAUGAAAGAAUUUCACUAUUUACGUUCCAUUGCCAGUUCAGGAGUUGGAACUGCUGCCUAAAAAGCUCCCGAAAUAAACAGGGAGCGCACCUAGGGUGCCACCCACCGCCAAAAAGGAACUAGUGAACUUUUUGCAAGGCAAAAUGUUUCAGGCGUGGCGCACACACUCGCAUAUAUGUAGGCAAAAUGAAAACAGCAAAGAACACGAAAAAGGCGCAAAGCACACGGAAAAAGAAAGGUGGAGACAGAGAAAGAGGGGUGGAGAAUAUGGAAAAGGGUUUUAAAGACCACGAAAAUGUGCAAGGGUUAUGAAUUGCCAUACUCAUUCCCUCAAUUAUUUAAUAUAUUGCAUAAAUGCACGCAACAUCAGAAUAUUUUGCAAAAAAGGGGGCGAUAAGGGAAAAGGGCAAGGAUAAUAGAGGCGGGUCCUUCGGUAUUCCCUAAAGGUAAGGAGACGGGCAGUUACAUUGGAAAGUGCAAAAGUUUCACAACAAAAUUGAAUUUUUAAUUUGCUUUGCACACAAAGCAAAUAAAAGAGAGAAACACAAACGAAAAGUAGUGAGAGGGAGUAGCAAAAAGUUUUAAAACAUCAAAAGCAGAUGGUAUACAAACAUAUAUUAUACACAAAAACUGCUAUCGCAAGUCCAAACUUGCAGCACACUCGCAAAAACUUAAUGAAAACGAAGUGAGUAAAAUAUAUAAGGGACAUGACUUCAAAAAAUUGUUACAUUUUUUUAAUCACCAUGAAUGGAGAGAGGAUCGUUGGUAUUUGGUAAUUAUUAGUACAACGGAGUAAGUCUUUACAGCUGUUGCUCCUGUGUUUGAAAUAGAUAUAUUUUAUUUGGUGAUUUAAGCUUUCUUAAAAGUAUUUAACCUAUUCGAUUCUUUAAGAAUGCAACCGAAUAAGUAUGCUCCGAAAAGGAGACUGCCAAAUCAGGGAAAGCGCGGAAAAGUGAAAGAAGGAAAUGCGAUUGAGGGAAAACUAACAAGGAGCUGAGCUGCCGAUACAUGGCGGACACACACAGUGGAGGCAUAGAUGUGCUCUAUGUACCAGAAACGAAUGCCGUCGCCAUCGCCAGCACCAGAUACAUAUCGACACAAAGCCAAGGAAGAAGUGCAAAAAAGAAAACAUUAAGGGGCAAAAACUUCGGAAAAGCAUCUGCAACAACAACUGCAUCUGCAUGUGCAUCUCGACGAAACAAGAAAAGUUCCAAAGUGCAAUAACCGUUUACCAUUAACCCUUCGAUGGCUCCAGGGGCCAUCCCAUUGACAGCCAAUCGCGGCGAUCUAUGCGACGUCAUACACAGCGAGAAAAUGGGGGCAACUUGAUAAUGGUGAAUCAAAAUGGAAAGAAGCAACAUAGCCUCGGCAUAAUAUACAAUAUAACUUUUUGUUGUUGCUUAUUAAAUAUAAGUAAUCUUUCGCACUUACCCUCACUCCAAUAAAUCGAGCCUCCAGAAGCUCCUGUUUCCGUGGAUUCAGUGAAGUUUGAAAUUGA
Molecule: long non-coding RNA, 3237 nt
Organism: Drosophila yakuba
Lineage: Eukaryota; Metazoa; Arthropoda; Insecta; Diptera; Drosophilidae
Exons: 2
Source: RefSeq, a predicted model, not a curated record